RNAcentral lists this ribosomal RNA (478 nucleotides) under uncultured bacterium. Its description in RNAcentral is "partial 16S ribosomal RNA". It matches the Rfam family "Bacterial small subunit ribosomal RNA", at positions 28 to 523 of the family's 1533-position model. The record is from RNAcentral.
GACGAACGCUGGCGGCGUGCUUAACACAUGCAAGUCGAACGGUAAGGCCCUUCGGGGUACACGAGUGGCGAACGGGUGAGUAACACGUGGGUGAUCUGCCCUGCACUUCGGGAUAAGCCUGGGAAACUGGGUCUAAUACCGGAUAGGACCACUGCCUGCAUGGGUGGUGGUGGAAAGCUUUUGCGGUGUGGGAUGGGCCCGCGGCCUAUCAGCUUGUUGGGGGGGUGAUGGCCUACCAAGGCGACGACGGGUAGCCGGCCUGAGAGGGUGACCGGCCACACGGGGACUGGGAUACGGCCCAGACUCCUCCGGGAGGCAGCAGUGGGGAAUAUUGCACAAUGGGCGAAAGCCUGAUGCAGCGACGCCGCGUGAGGGAUGACGGCCUUCGGGUUGUAAACCUCUUUCAGCACCGACGAAGCGCAAGUGACGGUAGGUGCAGAAGAAGGACCGGCCAACUACGUGCCAGCAGCCGCCGUAA